CCUAAUACAUGCAAGUCGAGCGCGGGAAGCGGACAGAACUCUUCGGAGGGACGUUCGUGGAACGAGCGGCGGACGGGUGAGUAACACGUAGGCAACCUGCCUGUAAGACUGGGAUAACUCGCGGAAACGCGAGCUAAUACCGGAUAAUACUUAUGAUCUCCUGAUGAUAAGUUGAAAGGCGGCUUUUGCUGUCACUUACAGAUGGGCCUGCGGCGCAUUAGCUAGUUGGUGGGGUAACGGCUCACCAAGGCGACGAUGCGUAGCCGACCUGAGAGGGUGAUCGGCCACACUGGGACUGAGACACGGCCCAGACUCCUACGGGAGGCAGCAGUAGGGAAUCUUCCGCAAUGGACGAAAGUCUGACGGAGCAACGCCGCGUGAGUGAUGAAGGUUUUCGGAUCGUAAAACUCUGUUGUCGGGGAAGAACAAGUAUGAUAGUAACUGAUCGUACCUUGACGGUACCCGACCAGAAAGCCACGGCUAACUACGUGCCAGCAGCCGCGGUAAUACGUAGGUGGCAAGCGUUGUCCGGAAUUAUUGGGCGUAAAGCGCUCGCAGGCAGUUCUUUAAGUCUGAUGUGAAAUCUUGCGGCUCAACCGUAAACGUGCAUUGGAAACUGGAGGACUUGAGUGCAGAAGAGGAGAGUGGAAUUCCACGUGUAGCGGUGAAAUGCGUAGAGAUGUGGAGGAACACCAGUGGCGAAGGCGACUCUCUGGUCUGUAACUGACGCUGAGGAGCGAAAGCGUGGGGAGCGAACAGGAUUAGAUACCCUGGUAGUCCACGCCGUAAACGAUGAGUGCUAGGUGUUAGGGGUUUCCGCCCCUUAGUGCUGAAGUUAACGCAUUAAGCACUCCGCCUGGGGAGUACGCCGCAAGCUGAACUCAAAAGAAUUGACGGGACCCGCACAGCGUGGAGCAUGUGUUUAAUUCGAAGCAACGCGAGAACCUUACCAGGUCUUGACAUCCUUUGAACCCUCUG
Molecule: ribosomal RNA, 978 nt
Filed under: uncultured Bacillus sp.
Lineage: Bacteria; Bacillati; Bacillota; Bacilli; Caryophanales; Bacillaceae
Description: bacterial SSU rRNA
Rfam family: Bacterial small subunit ribosomal RNA
Source: RNAcentral